AUUGAACGCUGGCGGCAUGCCUUACACAUGCAAGUCGAACGGUAACAGGUCUUCGGAUGCUGACGAGUGGCGAACGGGUGAGUAAUACAUCGGAACGUGCCUAGUAGUGGGGGAUAACUACUCGAAAGAGUGGCUAAUACCGCAUGAGAUCUACGGAUGAAAGCAGGGGAUCGCAAGACCUUGUGCUACUAGAGCGGCCGAUGGCAGAUUAGGUAGUUGGUGGGAUAAAAGCUUACCAAGCCGACGAUCUGUAGCUGGUCUGAGAGGACGGACAGCCACACUGGGAAUGGGACACGGCCCAGACUCCUACGGGAGGCAGCAGUGGGGAAUUUUGGACAAUGGGCGAAAGCCUGAUCCAGCAAUGCCGCGUGCAGGAUGAAGGCCUUCGGGUUGUAAACUGCUUUUGUGCGGAACGAAAAGCCCCGGGUUAAUACCCUGGGGUCAUGACGGUACCGUAAGAAUAAGCACCGGCUAACUACGUGCCAGCCGCCGCAGUAA
This 498-nucleotide ribosomal RNA is filed under the name uncultured bacterium. RNAcentral's name for it is "partial 16S ribosomal RNA". It matches the Rfam family "Bacterial small subunit ribosomal RNA", at positions 30 to 523 of the family's 1533-position model. The record is from RNAcentral.